GACGAACGCUGGCGGCAUGCCUAAUACAUGCAAGUCGAACGCGGCCAUCCGGUGCUUGCACUGGUGAAGCCGAGUGGCGAACGGGUGAGUAACACGUGAGAAACCUGCCCUGGAGUGGGGAAUAACUCGAAGAAAUUCGAGCUAAUACCGCAUACCUUCUCUUCACCGCAUGGUGAGUUGAAGAAAGAUUUAUCGCUCUAGGAGGGUCUCGCGGCCUAUCAGCUAGUUGGUGAGGUAAUGGCUCACCAAGGCAUCGACGGGUAGCUGGUCUGAGAGGGUGACCGGCCACACUGGAACUGAGACACGGUCCAGACUCCUACGGGGGGCAGCAGUGGGGAAUCUUCCACAAUGGGCGAAAGCCUGAUGGAGCGACGCCGCGUGAGCGAAGAAGGCCUUCGGGUUGUAAGACUCUGUCUGGAGGGACGGAAGGAAGGUGACGGUACCGUCCGGAGGAAGCCACCGGCGUAACUACGUAGCCAGCAGCCGCGGUAAUA
This 494-nucleotide ribosomal RNA is filed under the name uncultured bacterium. RNAcentral describes it as "bacterial SSU rRNA". It matches the Rfam family "Bacterial small subunit ribosomal RNA", at positions 28 to 525 of the family's 1533-position model. The record is from RNAcentral.